This is a long non-coding RNA of Phyllopteryx taeniolatus (common seadragon), 1070 nucleotides long. RefSeq lists it as uncharacterized. The transcript is spliced from 3 exons. NCBI's taxonomy places the organism in Eukaryota, Metazoa, Chordata, Actinopteri, Syngnathiformes, Syngnathidae. The record is from RefSeq and is a predicted model, not a curated record.
UGCAUGACAGUCGUCCUUUGCCAAAUCAAUGGACAUGAUUCAGUCACGUGACUCAGUGGCAAGCAAAAUAAUUAUUCGCUCUCAAACUAGCAGGCUGAACAACCUUUUCAGGAGUUUAGCAGCUUAACAAGUGGAUGAAUUGAAACAAUGGACCUCAGUGAAACGCAUGCAUAGUGUUUUGUUGCCCAACAGAAAAAUGACACAGACCACUGAUGUACGUGCUGGCUUCCCAAACGCUGCCAGAGAAUGGAUGGCGCUGUGUCAAUCGUAUAUUCACUGGAUGGUUUAUUCAUUUUGGAUAAGGUUUACAAAGAAAACUGUGCACUCUCAGAGUCAUCUCGACUGCUGGUGAGACUAUUCGAGGAGCUAGCUAGCAUAGUCCUACUCCUGUCCCAGCUAUUUGGUCGCGGCGUGCUGGAGCCUAUCCCAGCUAUCUUCGGGCGAGAGUUACACCCGUAACUGGUCGCGAGCCAAUCGGAGACAAAGUUUCUCCAUCCCUUUUGCACACGCAAAGCCACCCCCUCGGAUGGAGCUCCGGCUCCCUAGCCUCCGUGGACCGCCGCUGCUUAGCCUCUGGAACAGUGGCUGCUGAGCUACCCAGAUAAGCUCCCAGCCAAAUGUGAGUUUUCCGAACGUGCUAGCAGACCCGGACCCAAGGCGGGGAGAGAGACGGCCAUAUUCUCCCAAGGAGGCGUGACGAACAACCAUUUUUUGUCUUCUGCCUCUUUUGUUUAGUUUUUUAUUAUACAUCUUUUUCUUCUUCAACCAAAUCUGUCUCCGUGCUUCCUGAGACGCGCGCAGAGAGAGACCACUCCCAGAGACCAGCUGAUCUACGUUCAUGAGUAGACACUGCAAGCGUUUGCCAGACUGUACAAUAUUAGUGCCUAAUAAUUUCAGGGAAAUUACUAGCUUCAGACAAAAUCUCAAUUUUGUACUCUCUCGCUCUAGUCCGGAAUGGACGCGUUAAACGCUCGAGUUUUCCACUUUAGUCCAACACAUGAUGUUCUAGUUCCCUUUUCGUAAACCUAUUUUCCUUCUUUUUACCAUUAUUAGUGUUAUUUUCUUUCUUU